RNAcentral lists this ribosomal RNA (253 nucleotides) under uncultured bacterium. Its description in RNAcentral is "partial 16S ribosomal RNA". It matches the Rfam family "Bacterial small subunit ribosomal RNA", at positions 524 to 776 of the family's 1533-position model. The record is from RNAcentral.
UACGAAGGGGGCUAGCGUUGCUCGGAAUCACUGGGCGUAAAGCGCACGUAGGCGGAUCUUUAAGUCAGGGGUGAAAUCCCAAGGCUCAACCUUGGAACUGCCCUUGAUACUGGGGAUCUCGAGUCCGGAAGAGGUUGGUGGAACUCCGAGUGUAGAGGUGAAAUUCGUAGAUAUCGGGAGGAACACCAGUGGCGAAGGCGGCUUCCUGGCCUGUUCUUGACGCUGAGGCGCGAAAGCCAGGGGAGCAAACGGG